UAGGGAAUUUUCCACAAUGGGCGAAAGCCUGAUGGAGCAACGCCGCGUGCAGGAUGAAUGCCUUCGGGUUGUAAACUGCUUUUAUAUGUGACGAUUAUGACUGUAGCAUAUGAAUAAGGAACGGCUAACUCAGUGCCAGCAGCCGCGGUCAUACGGAGGAUCCAAGCGUUAUCCGGAAUUACUGGGCGUAAAGAGUUGCGUAGGUGGCAUAGUAAGUAGAUAGUGAAAGCGUUCGGCUCAACCGGAUAUCCAUUAUCUAAACUGCUAAGCUAGAGGAUGAGAGAGGUUAUUGGAAUUCCCUGUGUAGGAGUGAAAUCCGUAGAUAUAGGGAGGAACACCGAUGGCGUAGGCAGAUAACUGGCUCAUUCCUGACACUAAGGCACGAAAGCGUGGGGAGCAAAC
RNAcentral lists this ribosomal RNA (402 nucleotides) under uncultured bacterium. RNAcentral's name for it is "bacterial SSU rRNA". It matches the Rfam family "Bacterial small subunit ribosomal RNA", at positions 355 to 773 of the family's 1533-position model. The record is from RNAcentral.